Molecule: ribosomal RNA, 584 nt
Filed under: Debaryomyces sp.
Lineage: Eukaryota; Fungi; Ascomycota; Pichiomycetes; Serinales; Debaryomycetaceae
Description: partial large subunit ribosomal RNA
Rfam family: Eukaryotic large subunit ribosomal RNA
Source: RNAcentral
CGGAGGAAAAGAAACCAACAGGGAUUGCCUUAGUAACGGCGAGUGAAGCGGCAAAAGCUCAAAUUUGAAAUCUGGCACCUUCGGUGUCCGAGUUGUAAUUUGAAGAAGGUAACUUUGGAGUUGGCUCUUGUCUAUGUUCCUUGGAACAGGACGUCACAGAGGGUGAGAAUCCCGUGCGAUGAGAUGCCCAAUUCUAUGUAAAGUGCUUUCGAAGAGUCGAGUUGUUUGGGAAUGCAGCUCUAAGUGGGUGGUAAAUUCCAUCUAAAGCUAAAUAUUGGCGAGAGACCGAUAGCGAACAAGUACAGUGAUGGAAAGAUGAAAAGAACUUUGAAAAGAGAGUGAAAAAGUACGUGAAAUUGUUGAAAGGGAAGGGCUUGAGAUCAGACUUGGUAUUUUGCGAUCCUUUCCUUCUUGGUUGGGUUCCUCGCAGCUUACUGGGCCAGCAUCGGUUUGGAUGGUAGGAUAAUGACUAAGGAAUGUGGCUCUACUUCGGUGGAGUGUUAUAGCCUUGGUUGAUACUGCCUGUCUAGACCGAGGACUGCGUCUUUUGACUAGGAUGUUGGCAUAAUGAUCUUAAGCCACCC